Molecule: long non-coding RNA, 1190 nt
Organism: Triticum aestivum (bread wheat)
Lineage: Eukaryota; Viridiplantae; Streptophyta; Magnoliopsida; Poales; Poaceae
Exons: 5
Source: RefSeq, a predicted model, not a curated record
GAAAAAAUAAAAAGCAAAUCUGUCGUCUCCUUGGGGCGCCGCCUAAGGCGAGAAGCUCAUGGCUAUCGAGAUGGAGACCACACGAGACGACGGGAUCGAGUUCUUGUCAGUUACAGUCUACAGAGAUUUCCCCUGCCAGAUCUCGCUGGUGCAGGGCCGCUGUUGGCCCAUCCUAGAAGCCGGGCUCUAACAUGCGCGCCUGCUGAGUCCAGCAUUGAUGAUGCGGGGGACGCGGCAGUGACCUUACAAAUCGAGUUGCACAGCACUUGUGAUGCGGUUGCCCUGUCCGCACCCGCCUCCGAGCAAUCUACAGGCAAAAACGACCCUCAAGCCCCUGGCUGGGCCAAAAGAGUCCGUGUUGGUCGUGCACCUGACGAACGCCCUCCAUGUGCUGCGAGGAUGAGUGCAUUGGAGGUAGCAUUAUGAAGAUAUGCAGAAAACAAAACUGAAACUGUCAUAGCUCCUGUUGUGGGAAGCAACUUCGAUAGAUUGGGAGAAGCUUAUGAUUACUACAAUCUCUACUCGUGGGAGAUUGGGUUUGGAGUAAGAUAUGGUAAAAGCCGGCUAAAUUGAAAGGACAAAAUGCUUGCAGGAAAUAGUUUGUGGCUGCUCUAUGCCCCACGAUGAUACGGUUGCUUCGAACAUCUGACAUUGGCUGGUAUAUAAACGAGUUCAGAGCUGAUCACAACCAUGCUCUCAAUGAAAAAUGUGUCUUCAGUUCAUGGGAGGGCUGAUGGCGUAUCGAUCGCAGUUGGAGAUAUCGAAGAAGAACCUGAAGUGCAAUCCGGUUUUUCAGCUAUGGAAGAAGUGGCUACAUAUAAUCCAGAAGAUCAUAGCUUCGCCGAUGGUGAUGGCUCCACCUAGGCGGGCAGCUGCUGCGAGUCAACCACGAAAGUUGACCGUCGAUCCACUACCGACGACGAUGAUGACACCAACCCAGCCAAGCAGGCAAGGAUUGAUGAGUAAAAAAUCUGCUGGAGCUGAUUAUAGAUGAUAUGCUGAAACUACGGCUCACUCCAUGAUUAAAUAGCCCUGACGAGUUGAAUGCGGUAUUAUGUGUAUCUCAAGUAAUAAAUUUAAUGAUCCCCUGUUUUUUCUGCAGUAGUUGUGCUACCAGUAGAAUGCACAAAUGAACCGUUGCUGCUCUGCUUUGAUAAUCACUCUACCUGAGAAAAUAGGUGAGAGGCAAA